Non-coding RNA from Podarcis lilfordi (Lilford's wall lizard), 190 nucleotides. NCBI's taxonomy places the organism in Eukaryota, Metazoa, Chordata, Lepidosauria, Squamata, Lacertidae. The record is from the annotation of a GenBank genome assembly.
AUAAUAAUAAUAAUAAUAAUAAUAAUAAUAAAUAAAAAUAAAAAAUAAACACUGGGCGGGAACUGCUCCAGCCCUUUCGCUCCCUCAGGCGAUAGAGACAGAUCUUAAUAACCAAAUAUAAUAAAAUAAUAAUAAUAAUAAUAAUAAUAUGGGCGGGAACUGCUCCGGCCCUUCCGCUCCCUCAGGCGGU